This is a non-coding RNA of Sus scrofa (pig), 1016 nucleotides long. The record is from RefSeq and is a predicted model, not a curated record. Lineage: Eukaryota; Metazoa; Chordata; Mammalia; Artiodactyla; Suidae.
CUUUUCUGUUUCAUAUUUUGGAUAUUUAAGAUUUCAUUUGGAAAAGAAUUUUCACGGCUUCAAAACCAAUUUAGCCUUGUCUUCCCCGGUGGUCUCGUGGGUAGGACUGAGCGCGUUCAUGGCUGCAGCCCGGGUUCCAUUCCCCGUCUAGGAACUCAGAUCCCACAUCAAGACGCAGCAGGGUGCAGCCAAAAAAAAAAAGACAAAAACAAUCUAGCAUCGGCUGAUGUCUUAGGGAGGAAGAGCAGAGGAUGAGACGUGGAGUAUGGAAGAUCUGCCUUUGAGACCGAGAACCACGUGUUCCCAGAAAUAGGACAUGGAGACGUAUGGGAACCAGCGCUGCCUGUGGUCCUGAGUGCCACCAGCCUGCCUCGUGGCCACCCCAGGCUGAAAAGGACCAGGGUCUGACCUCCACGUCAUGGGAAAAUGAAAGCCGGAUGCCAGGUUGUGGUGUGGCUCUAACAGGAAGCAGGUGGCCCUUUUGUUGUGCACCUGUGUUCUUUGCUGUCACCAAGGUGGGCCCAGAGCGCCUUCGGAAUACGGCAGAGAUACUGUAACGCCACCUGCCAGGGCUGUGACUCGAACCAGGCAAGUGAGAAGAAAUAAAACUUCCUGAGUUGGGAGGAACACAGGCCCUGUGGACCAGGAGCCGCUGGAAGCUUCUGGAGCAGAAGGGCUCAGCCCUGCAAGGGCCACUGAGGCCAGGAGGGUGGCUUCGCAGGAAGAGGAAGGACAUUCAGGCUUAGAGCACAAAUCCCAGGUGAUCCUGGAGAGCAUCUCUGGUUCUGUUCUCGUCUGUGUUUCCUACGUGUUGCGCUGGGGACAGCCAGGCACAGUGUUGCGGAUCUGUGUGAAUGGGCAACUAGAGAUCACGCAUUUUAUCACUCAUGUCCAAAGUGCUUAAAAGUUACUUUGCUGAUUUAACGUGGAAAGCGUCCAGGUAGAUUAAUUUUAUGGGCUCUUUUUAUGGGGGUAACAUUUCAAAAGACUGCUUCUGGAUGGGUGUCAUCAGAUUU